Molecule: transfer RNA, 71 nt
Filed under: Stegodyphus mimosarum
Lineage: Eukaryota; Metazoa; Arthropoda; Arachnida; Araneae; Eresidae
Rfam family: tRNA
About the family: Transfer RNA (tRNA) molecules are approximately 80 nucleotides in length. Their secondary structure includes four short double-helical elements and three loops (D, anti-codon, and T loops).
Source: Rfam by way of RNAcentral
GCCUUCAUGGUAUAAUGGUAGCAUACUCAGCUCGUAUUCGAGAGGUCCAGGUUCGAGUCCCGGCGAAGGCA